UACGAAGGGGGCUAGCGUUGCUCGGAAUUACUGGGCGUAAAGGGAGCGUAGGCGGAUAGUUUAGUCAGAGGUGAAAGCCCAGGGCUCAACCCUGGAAUUGCCUUUGAUACUGGCUAUCUUGAGUAUGGGAGAGGUUAGCGGAACUCCGAGUGUAGAGGUGAAAUUCGUAGAUAUUCGGAAGAACACCAGUGGCGAAGGCGGCUAACUGGCCCAUUACUGACGCUGAGGCUCGAAAGCGUGGGGAGCAAACAGGG
Molecule: ribosomal RNA, 254 nt
Filed under: uncultured bacterium
Lineage: Bacteria
Description: partial 16S ribosomal RNA
Rfam family: Bacterial small subunit ribosomal RNA
Source: RNAcentral